This 6583-nucleotide long non-coding RNA is filed under the name Medicago truncatula (barrel medic). RNAcentral's name for it is "long non-coding RNA (MTRU_LNC006816)". The stretch from base 4859 to 4929 matches the Rfam family "tRNA". Lineage: Eukaryota; Viridiplantae; Streptophyta; Magnoliopsida; Fabales; Fabaceae. The record is from RNAcentral.
ACCCAAGCACUAACAUGAGGUCUUGAUUCAAAAAGCUUCUUGCUUUGUGACUUCAUCAAGUAAUGAAGAGAAGGUAAAUGAUGCAAAUCCACCAAGGUGAAAGAGUCACCUCCAAAGUAUUUGGACUCAGACAAUCUUUUCUCAUACACAUCAAGAAUACUAUCCAACUUGGCUUCAUUCUCUUCAACAAUUUUUGGAUCCAAAGGAAUUCCAAAUAAAGUCUUUAUCCCCAAUUCCCAAACAAGUUUUGAUGCUACUUGAUCAAAGUGAUGGCUCUCCACUUCAGACCACACCCCCAUUAUUGCCAACUUCUUGGAGUCACUGCUUGUUAGCUUGGUCCCCUUAUCAGCAUACUCGUGAUUAAUAUAUUGUGUUAUGGCCCUUGACUCUGCAUUUCAAUUUAUAAUCAGUUCAAUGCUCCUUAGUUUUGAAUAAACUUCAUAUAUGCAUCAAAUUCUAUUCUAUAAAGCACUCAUGAACACUCGACAUUUAAAAAAUAACAUUGACAUGUCGACACCAAUUUUUAAUGUAAAUGUUUUUAUUCAAUAAAUUGUCCCAUUUUAUUUGUUUCAAUUGCUUUAAAAAAUAAAAUAUAAAAUGUGGCCUAAGGCUAUGGCCUUAUUGACCUUGCCUUAGCCAGGACACUAUGUAUUGGUAUCAUAUCGGACAUUAAACGAUCUUCGAUAUAAAAUGUUGAAGUGAAUAAAUCCACAUAUCUUACCAAAGAGCUUUAAAUCUCCAUCUUCAAAAGCUGGAACUUGACCAAAUGGCUGCAUCAUAAAGAUUUAAUGAGUUAGAUAAAUGUGGUUGGAAGAAGAAGGAAAUUAAUUUCAAUUAAUCCAAAAUUAAAGUAAACUACUAGAAUGAUAUUUUGUGAUAUUGCUUACAUUGAGUGAUAUGAACGGUUCCUUUUUGUGUUCUCCAUUCCUCAUGUUAAUGUUAAAAAACUCAAACUCAAUCUGCUUUUCAUACAGAGUUGCAGUAACCCGCAUGGUGGCCGUUGAGUAGGGACUUCCAUGGACUUUUAUUGUUGCCAUGAUUUACAAGAUUAAUCGAUCACAAGAUUAAUUUAUUGUUCUUAAUUAACUUUGGUAAGUUGUAGAAUUAAAUGAUAAUAGCUUUGAUGGUUAUAUAGUAAGAUGGAUAGAUUGGAAAGUGCGUAAGAGCUGACGUGAAAGAAGAUUAGUAUUAAACAAUUGGAAGCUGGUAGCCCAAUUCCAUAAAUGCUGAACAAAAAAAUUAAAAUACUACAUUAGUACAUUCACUCAGAACCAGGAAAUCUCAAAAAUCCUAUGACGCAUAGAAAUACAUCAGCAAAAAUAAAGUGCUCCCACAGUUGGAGAACUAGCACAUGUUUGUGGUGGGGUUUAGUUCAAUUUUGUGUCGAAAACUAUUUAAUUCCAAUAAUAAAAUAUUGAUUUUUUUCUAGUUAUACCUUUAAAACAUCAGGUUACAUCCGAAUUUGGAUAAUAUUUUAUCACGGUACUAAAAUAGUCCUUGAUUCCAUAAUAAUUUAAUUUUCACCUCUUUCUCACACAAACAUCAAUAUUGAAAAAGAAAUGAUAUUUGAACAACUAUUUUAUGAUAAUUUUUAGAUAAUUUUCUUCCUAUACUUAAAUUAUGUACUUAUAUUCUCUUUGCCUCUUUCUUCAAAUAUCAUUACUCUUAUUGAAAUGAAGACAAAAGUUCCUUUUAAAAAAUUAUUUAAGAUGAACAAAGGAACAUUAUGUAAGGUUUCUAAUUAAGUAUAAUUUUUUUCUCUCAAAAAAAAAAUUAAGUACAAUUUUUUAGGGUUAAAUAUGUUUUAGGUCCCUAUAAAUAUAUCAAGUUUUUGUUUUCGUCCCUCUAAAAUUUUCCUUCAACUUUUAAUCCCUAUAAAAUUUUCAAUCACUACUUUAGACCCUAGUUUUAAGUUAAUUUUGUAUUUUUCUUAAUGAAAUUGUGCACAAAUGUGUAGAAUAUUGUAAAAAAAAAUUCCAAAAAAAUUAGAAUUUUUUAACAAAACACAAAUUAAAUAUAAAUUUUUAACCGUCAAAGAUAUAAAAAUUCAUAUUAAAUUUUUGUUUUUUUUUUAAAUUUUAAUUUUUUUUGGGUGAGAUUCUUAUAAUAUUAUGAAUGUUUCAAAAGUAUGAAUUCUACAUAUGAGUUUACUUAAAAGGAGGGACCAAAAGUGAAGAUGGAAAUUGUUUUAGAGACUAGAACAAAAAGUUGACAUAUUUAUAGGGACCAAAAACAUAUUUAACCUUAAUUUUUAUUUUAUUUUAUCGAUAUUCAAAUGAAUAAGCAAUUAAAAGAAUAAAAGUGAAUUUUUGAGUGAUUUUCUGUUUUUCAUGUCAUCAAUAUUCAAUUAAAAGAAUAUGUAUUGAAUUGAGAUUUCAAAGGAUUUUGAUAUACUUUUUAUGAUAAAAAAAUCUUGUCGUAUUGAAUCAAGACUUUUAUUAAAUCUAUAUAAAUCUUGUGGUAUUCAAUUAAGACUUUUUUUUUUAAGGCAGCCAAAUCUGUUGGUAUUCAAUUAAGAUUUCUAAGAACUUAUAAAAUGUCUUUUGGUAUUGAAAAUAUGCAGAUUUUAAUGGAUUCAUUUGGGGAAUGGAUUGUGUGAGACUUUUUAGUUGAAAUACACUCAUCCAACAAUCUCACACAAACUCUUGAGAUUGUGUGAUACUCUUCCAAAUUCAAUUUUUUUUUUGACGUUUCUUCAAAAUUCUUUUCUGUUCUAUACUAUGACGAUGGCAGGUUAUAUAUUUUGUUUGGCAAACUUGCUUGUCGAAAUCAUCAUGCCUCUGACUUGCACUUUUCUUAACAGAACUAGUUGCAUUUUUCUACUUUAUGUUCAUUGACAUUAUAAUAAUUUUUCUACUUGCUUUUUUCUUCCUAUAAUAACAUGCAUUUUUCAAUCAAAUUAUUAUAAUGAAUAGACUUAACAUAACUUAUUUUAAUGCAUGUCUAUUUAUUUUGAUAUCAUAUGCCCAUAAUUUUUUUAAGAUGAGGCAACCUGCUAGUAGUACUAUAUCAUCUCAUAGUCUAUACGUUCAUUGAUUCAUUGUUUUUUUCGGUCGAUUUAUAUAUGUACUUUUGUUUUUGAGUUUUUUUGGCAAUGAUAUAUACAUCUAAUAGUAUUAUACCAUACUGUAUCUUUACAUUUAUUGAUCCCUUUAAAAUCUAAAAAAUUCAUAAAGUCCUUUAAAAUCUAUAUUAUAAAUCCAUUAAAAUUUUGCAUUGAGAAUCUUGAUUGUAAAAAGUCUUUUAAAAUCCCACAAAAUCAAUACAAUCCAACAAAGUCUUUUAAAAUCUGCAAGAUUUUUUCUAUCAAAAUAGUUUUUUAAAAGGUUUAAAUGUAUCAUUGGUCUCUACACUUUCAUCAGAUUUUGGCAUUGGUCCCUGCACUUUUUUUUGUUUGGCAUUGGUCCCUGCACUUUGUAAAAAUAUUGGUAUUGGUCCCUCUGUUAACUUUCGGUUAAAAAAAAAACACAAAACUAUUGGUAUUGAUCCCUGCACUUUGUAAAAAUAUUGAUAUUGGUGCCACGUGGCGUGAAAUGAUUGGGCCACGUGGCACUCCGUUGGUUUUAUGUUUUUUUUUUAACAGAAAGUUAACAGAGGGACCAAUACCAAUAUUUUUACAAAGUGCAGGGAUCAAUGCCAAACAAAAAAAAGUGCAGGGACCAAUGCCAAAUCUGAUGAAAGUGCAGGGACCAAUGACACAUUUAAACCUUUUUUAAAAUACCAAUCAAAUACACCCGCCUAAAAGUGAAUUUUACAUGAAAUUAUUUGUCAAAUCAAAUUUUAUCCAUUCACGUAUGGCAUCUUAUGAGUGUUGAAAUAUGGGUUUCGAUUCACGUAUGCAUACGAUUGCCAUUUACGCUGUUAAUUUGCCAUUGAAUUCACUAUUCAAUUGGCAAUUGAAUUCAAUACGAAUUGGUAUCACGAAGCAAUUCAUGUUUCUUCUUACAAGGGAAAAACAUGAUCAAAUUGAUCUAAUGUAAAUUGCACUAAAAUUGGAUCGAAUUUAAUUUUUUUUAUAAACACGAAUUUUUUCUCUCCUGGUGUUGUAAGUGAUUUGUUUUUUCAAAUGGUAGUUUCACAUAAAUCUAUAACAAAUUCUUUCGGUAGAAGACAUAAUCUUUUUUGGUACAAAGUAGAAGGCAAAAUAUAUGAUAAAAUUCACUGACCACAAUUUAUGCAAGUCUAUUUAAAGAGAAGACUCUUGGUUGUAUAACAUAUAUAUAUAUGUAUGGAAUUUAAAUAAGCCCCAUACAUACUUUUUUUUUUUACAAUAGCCCGAUACAUAGAUAAUAGCAUACUAAAAUAAAUAAGCAUUUAGAUUGAAUAUAUGCAAUUGAAAGAGUUACAUUUCUUGUCUCUAUGUAAAGCUUUUCAUGUCCCUUGGUGAUAUAUAUUAGUGGUUACAUUUGCCAAUUUAACUUUCAUUUAAUUUACUAGUUACAAAUAAUUCUUCGAAAGAAGAUAUGUUAAAACGACGGAAUAUUGUGAUUCAUCAUAAAAUAUGUAUGGGCUGGUUUCAAAGCAUUAUAAAGAUUUGCUGUAGAAAAAGAGCAUGUUCUAUUUUGUUCAAGAGAUUAGAAAAACAACAUUAUAAUUAACAUGAUACUAAUUUGAACCAAUGAAGAAACCAACAAUGUGCAGAUUAACGUUACAUACUAGUUAGGUUUAUAAAAGAGACUCCAAGUGUCAAAGACUAACUAAAAAGAGACUUUUGCCAAUAUUUACAUUAGACAAAAUGAAAAGAACAAAUGACAUCCCAAAGUUAAGAUAGUUUACGAUUACAGUCCAAAGCGAUACGUCAAAAUAGUAGAAGUUCAAAUAGUUCAGCAGCAAANAGUUUCGAAAUUUCACAACACAAGCGCAUCUGGUGUAGUGGUAUCAUAGUACCCUCCCACGGUACUGACCAGGGUUCGAUUCCCUGGAUGCGCAUUUUAGUUUUUCUAAACCUGUUUCAUGUUUGUUUUUUUUUUAACUGACUUUCCAAUCGUGAAGGUUGUAUAAAUUGUAAAAUUUUACGACGAAUGCAAUUGAUUGAGCUUUUGGCAUACCCAGUUUACAGUACACUUGAAAAAUGACAAUAUGAAAUAAAUAAAAGCUUCUUGAAAUAUGAAACAACACCAAACAAAUCAAUAUUACAUUCCUUUGAAAGAAAUUGGACUAAAAUCCCUUAACCAUUGUCUUCGAUCAUCCGUCAGAUUCUCGCUGCGAUUAUUUAUUGAUAAAGUCGUUAAAUAUUUCAUACCAAUAACAUUAUUAAAAAACAACGCCCAACAACAAUAUGUAUCCAAAAACUGUCUUAAUUAGGUAUCAUGGCAAGGACUUCAGACCAAGCUGGUCUUGCAGUGAUAUCAGCCACCCAAGCACUAACAUGAGGUCUUGAUUCAAAAAGCUUCUUGCUUUGUGACUUCAUCAAGUAAUGAAGAGAAGGUAAAUGAUGCAAAUCCACCAAGGUGAAAGAGUCACCUCCAAAGUAUUUGGACUCAGACAAUCUUUUCUCAUACACAUCAAGAAUACUAUCCAACUUGGCUUCAUUCUCUUCAACAAUUUUUGGAUCCAAAGGAAUUCCAAAUAAAGUCUUUAUCCCCAAUUCCCAAACAAGUUUUGAUGCUACUUGAUCAAAGUGAUGGCUCUCCACUUCAGACCACACCCCCAUUAUUGCCAACUUCUUGGAGUCACUGCUUGUUAGCUUGGUCCCCUUAUCAGCAUACUCGUGAUUAAUAUAUUGUGUUAUGGCCCUUGACUCUGCAUUUCAAUUUAUAAUCAGUUCAAUGCUCCUUAGUUUUGAAUAAACUUCAUAUAUGCAUCAAAUUCUAUUCUAUAAAGCACUCAUGAACACUCGACAUUUAAAAAAUAACAUUGACAUGUCGACACCAAUUUUUAAUGUAAAUGUUUUUAUUCAAUAAAUUGUCCCAUUUUAUUUGUUUCAAUUGCUUUAAAAAAUAAAAUAUAAAAUGUGGCCUAAGGCUAUGGCCUUAUUGACCUUGCCUUAGCCAGGACACUAUGUAUUGGUAUCAUAUCGGACAUUAAACGAUCUUCGAUAUAAAAUGUUGAAGUGAAUAAAUCCACAUAUCUUACCAAAGAGCUUUAAAUCUCCAUCUUCAAAAGCUGGAACUUGACCAAAUGGCUGCAUCAUAAAGAUUUAAUGAGUUAGAUAAAUGUGGUUGGAAGAAGAAGGAAAUUAAUUUCAAUUAAUCCAAAAUUAAAGUAAACUACUAGAAUGAUAUUUUGUGAUAUUGCUUACAUUGAGUGAUAUGAACGGUUCCUUUUUGUGUUCUCCAUUCCUCAUGUUAAUGUUAAAAAACUCAAACUCAAUCUGCUUUUCAUACAGAGUUGCAGUAACCCGCAUGGUGGCCGUUGAGUAGGGACUUCCAUGGACUUUUAUUGUUGCCAUGAUUUACAAGAUUAAUCGAUCACAAGAUUAAUUUAUUGUUCUUAAUUAACUUUGGUAAGUUGUAGAAUUAAAUGAUAAUAGCUUUGAUGGUUAUAUAGUAAGAUGGAUAGAUUGGAAAGUGCGUAAGAGCUGACGUGAAAGAAGAUUAGUAUUAAACAAUUGGAAGCUGGUAGCCCAAUUCCAUAAAUGCUG